This 267-nucleotide ribosomal RNA is filed under the name Triticum aestivum (bread wheat). RNAcentral's name for it is "partial small subunit ribosomal RNA". Lineage: Eukaryota; Viridiplantae; Streptophyta; Magnoliopsida; Poales; Poaceae. The record is from RNAcentral.
AUGGAGGCCCUUAUCGGUAUGUCUCCUCCAGAGCCUCCGGUACCAAAAGGAGACAAGAAUAGGGAAAGAGUUGCAGCCGGUGCUCCUUUCACCUAGAUUGCAUUCCACUUUGGGAAUUGCCCUGAGGAUGCUAGUAAUGAACAGGUCCAAAUAUAUGCUCGUGUCUACAUGUGGCACGUUAUCUUCAGGACUCUGUUUGCUGACAGCACAAGCAAGAAUGCUCCAUGGAUGUGGCUGAAGGUGUUGACCGUCUUCGAUAACAAAUGA